AGACACUCGGCAUUGAUAUUGUACCGAUAAAUCGUACCAUCUUGGACUAUGCAGAUUUGGGUUUGAUCAUCGGUCCAUGACAUACCGAUUAGGCGGCCUUCGGGGUGCUUCCAGACGGUUUCGGCGAUGAGGAUGCCAGCGGAGUUGAAGAUGCGAAGCUUGCGGAGGGCAGAUUCGGAAUAGAGCUGGACGAUCUUGGAGUCGUGAGGGAUAAUGGCGAUUGGGCCGCCGAAUGGAGCGCAGGCCACCUUGUUGCGGCUCAAGUC
This 266-nucleotide unclassified non-coding RNA is filed under the name Hevea brasiliensis (rubber tree). Lineage: Eukaryota; Viridiplantae; Streptophyta; Magnoliopsida; Malpighiales; Euphorbiaceae. The record is from RNAcentral.